This 476-nucleotide ribosomal RNA is filed under the name uncultured bacterium. RNAcentral's name for it is "bacterial SSU rRNA". It matches the Rfam family "Bacterial small subunit ribosomal RNA", at positions 28 to 518 of the family's 1533-position model. The record is from RNAcentral.
GAUGAACGUUGGCGGCGUGCUUAACACAUGCAAGUCGAACGGUGAAGCCCCUUCGGGGGUGGAUCAGUGGCGAACGGGUGAGUAACACGUGGGCAACCUGCCCCUAGCGCUGGGAUAACCCCGGGAAACCGGGCUAAUACCGGAUAUGACCUCGGAGGACAUCCUCUGAGGUGGAAAGUUCUUCGGCUAGGGAUGGGCCCGCGGCCUAUCAGCUUGUUGGUGAGGUAACGGCCCACCAAGGCGACGACGGGUAGCCGGCCUGAGAGGGCGACCGGCCACACUGGGACUGAGACACGGCCCAGACUCCUACGGGAGGCAGCAGUGGGGAAUAUUGCGCAAUGGGCGAAAGCCUGACGCAGCGACGCCGCGUGAGGGACGAAGGCCUUCGGGGUUGUAAACCUCUUUCAGCAGGGACCGAAGGCGAAAGUGACGGUACCUGCAGAAGAAGCACCGGCCAACUACGUGCCAGCCGCCGC